Triticum aestivum (bread wheat) is the source of this 797-nucleotide long non-coding RNA. RefSeq lists it as uncharacterized. The transcript is spliced from 3 exons. NCBI's taxonomy places the organism in Eukaryota, Viridiplantae, Streptophyta, Magnoliopsida, Poales, Poaceae. The record is from RefSeq and is a predicted model, not a curated record.
AAGAUGUGUCCCGUCGCCCGCCGCCGUUUUCCAAAUGUUCCUCUGGAUCUCCCCUGUCUGAUCCACCCAACUAACCUCCUCCUUUCCCCGAUCCAGCGCGCCCGAGCUCCACCUUAUGUGCCCUCCUCCUCGUCGUUUCGGCCGUAGCAGACGAACAGGAGGCCUCACGCCUGCCUCCUCCUCGUUGCCUCGCUCGAACCCAACAAGAGAGGAGCUCCUCCACGUCGUGCUCCUCACCGAGCCCUGCCUCGUCACCGGAGAGGAUCUCCUGCAGGACCUCCGGCCUCCUCCCAUGUUCGGCCGCCGCAGCACCGGAGCUCCCUCCGCCGUCGAGCACCCCCAGCAGAUGAGCCCCGCACUGCCCUUCCUUCCUUUCCAUGUCCUUCUUCCUCUCCCUCUCUCUUCUUUCUCUCUCUGUCACUCAUCGCUCCCUCUGUCUCUUACAGGAACCCGGCGACAUGGCACCCCGAAGCCCUAAGGCCUGAGCACCCACGGGACCACGUCGAGCAGAUGGCCACUGCCCUUCCUUGCAGAUGCUUCGCCGCUUUGAGUCCAGGGACGCCACGACCGUCCUCUUCUUCGGAUCAAGGCGCCGCCCAUCGGAUCCGGUUCCCCUCGGCAUCCACAUCGAGCUCUGGCCCAGUCCAGCCUCGCACCUUCCCCGCCAGGUCCUGUCGCCAUGGCUGCAGGCCUCUUUAUUUCCUCGUUUUCUGAUAAUGUCGCGUUUGUGAGGAUCCGUUCGACUAUGUCUGUUUGUCUUCUUCAUGGACUCGUUCUUUUCCUUGCGGGAUCUCAGG